UCGACGGAAAGGCCCUGCUUUUGUGGGGUGCUCGAGUGGCGAACGGGUGAGUAACACGUGAGUAACCUGCCCUUGACUUUGGGACAACUUCAGGAAACUGGGGCUAAUACCGGAUAGGAGCUCCUGCUGCAUGGUGGGGGUUGGAAAGUUUCGGCGGUUGGGGAUGGACUCGCGGCUUAUCAGCUUGUUGGUGGGGUAGUGGCUUACCAAGGCUUUGACGGGUAGCCGGCCUGAGAGGGUGACCGGCCACAUUGGGACUGAGAUACGGCCCAGACUCCUACGGGAGGCAGCAGUGGGGAAUAUUGCACAAUGGGCGGAAGCCUGAUGCAGCAACGCCGCGUGCGGGAUGACGGCCUUCGGGUUGUAAACCGCUUUCGCCUGUGACGAAGCGUGAGUGACGGUAAUGGGUAAAGAAGCACCGGCUAACUACGUGCCAGCAGCCGCGGUGAUACGUAGGGUGCGAGCGUUGUCCGGAUUUAUUGGGCGUAAAGGGCUCGUAGGUGGUUGAUCGCGUCGGAAGUGUAAUCUUGGGGCUUAACCCUGAGCGUGCUUUCGAUACGGGUUGACUUGAGGAAGGUAGGGGAGAAUGGAAUUCCUGGUGGAGCGGUGGAAUGCGCAGAUAUCAGGAGGAACACCAGUGGCGAAGGCGGUUCUCUGGGCCUUUCCUGACGCUGAGGAGCGAAAGCGUGGGGAGCGAACAGGCUUAGAUACCCUGGUAGUCCACGCUGUAAACGGUGGGUACUAGGUGUGGGGUCCAUUCCACGGGUUCCGCGCCGUAGCUAACGC
This 786-nucleotide ribosomal RNA is filed under the name uncultured Actinomycetes bacterium. Its description in RNAcentral is "bacterial SSU rRNA". It matches the Rfam family "Bacterial small subunit ribosomal RNA", at positions 62 to 858 of the family's 1533-position model. Lineage: Bacteria; Bacillati; Actinomycetota; Actinomycetes. The record is from RNAcentral.